RNAcentral lists this transfer RNA (74 nucleotides) under Caldisphaera lagunensis DSM 15908. RNAcentral's name for it is "tRNA-His (GTG) (tRNA-His-GTG-1-1)". It matches the Rfam family "tRNA". From Rfam's summary of the family: Transfer RNA (tRNA) molecules are approximately 80 nucleotides in length. Their secondary structure includes four short double-helical elements and three loops (D, anti-codon, and T loops). The record is from Rfam by way of RNAcentral. RNAcentral also lists the same sequence under 1 other name. Lineage: Archaea; Thermoproteati; Thermoproteota; Thermoprotei; Acidilobales; Acidilobaceae.
GCCCGGAUAGCUCAGCUGGUUAGAGCGCUCGGCUGUGGACCGAGAAGUCCCGGGUUCGAAUCCCGGUCCGGGCC